Long non-coding RNA from Acanthaster planci (crown-of-thorns starfish), 3495 nucleotides. The record is from RefSeq and is a predicted model, not a curated record. NCBI's taxonomy places the organism in Eukaryota, Metazoa, Echinodermata, Asteroidea, Valvatida, Acanthasteridae.
CUCAUUCGCAGUAACCAGACUGCGCUGUGCGCGGGGAACUUCAAUUUUUUUCCGAAUGUGUUGUUUAUUUUGGUUGAAAAUUCGAAAUUCCUUAUUGCAAAUGGGUGUUCAGUUGUCAAAACGAUGGUUUCUGUGUGAUGCAACGAAGACUCAAUUAAUGAAAUAAAAUUUCCCCAAAGUUUUGUACCAAACUGCGCUCAAUCGUGGCAGCGUGUCGACCGUAAACUUGAAAAGUGGCCUAGGCCUACAUUUAUCCGGAGAGGAAACCCUUGGUGGAGCACUGUAUUGUGAAUCGCCCGUAAGAAACCACUGUGUACAAUCUUGGAAGGCCUACAUGUACAUGUACGUAGUCGGUCACCAAAACCUCAUCAGGCUGUCGAGCAGCAGUGCCCGGUGCUGUAUAGAAUUUUCCUGGACCACUUCCCUUGCUACCGAACACACAUCGCAGCUCCCACUUUGCCCAGACUGAUGUCUCUUACACUCCCCUAUGGGCUUGAACUUCAGAAAUCCAGGCCUCUUGUCAACUCUGGGAAUAAUGCGAACUGCCAACACUGUCAAGUCUUUGUUGAUACAAACUUGAUUGUUGCAUAGAGUGAGAGGAACUCACUAUCCGCUGCCGUCCUUGUCACCUCUCUUGCUGUCUCCAAUGAAUGUUGUAUUCUCUCCGACGCCAAACUCAUUUCUGCCAGCUUUUGCAAACAGUCUGUUUGAAUGUUUUCGAUGUCAUCGAUGAUGCGACAUCUGCCAUGACUCUCUCCGCUUUAAUAUCCAGGUCGCGUUUCAUUCUUGAAACUGUUUCACAAGAUUCAUGGAGUUCGUUCAGGGUUUCUUCCAAAGGAGAUACUGCCACUACUGUGGCUGACAGGUGUGGACUACCUGUCAUCUGAACUCUACCCCUCAAUCUGUCUGCCUCAGGUGGCCCUGCUUGGAGUAUUUGCCUCGAGUAGAAGCCCCAUCCCUCCUCAUCGUUGUGAGUGGGGAGUGUUCAGUAAGUGCUGUCUUGUUGGUAGCAAUGCGACUGUGAUGUGUGUAUUUCAAAGUUGUUUGUAGACCAGGAAUUGCCUUCACCACCAAGGGAAUCAACACUGUGAAGGAAAUUGGGCGCCCUCUCUUGGCCCUGUGCAGGGCAGUUUGGGACUCCAGUCAGCAUAGCUCUCGGGCUGACUGAAGAGGACACUCUGAGGGGAGCAGUCUGUAGCAAUGCCUCAGAGUUCUCCAAAAUACCAUCGCUUUGCACUGUUCCCCUUGUUGUACAUAAACCACAAAUUGGGCAAAUCCUACGCUCCCACAAUGCAUUCUGAGUCCCCAAUGCAUUCUGGAUGAGGACCACUCCUAUACUCAGGAUUCUGAGUUUGUAAACUCAAGAUAGAUCAUAUCUUUUCUGUGACCAGUCUUCAUGUGGCAAAUACAGUAACCAGAAAUUAACAGUUUCACACUUAGGAGAGCGUUACCACUUGUCACUUGACCUUUGUCCCCGUCCCCACCAUAGCAGUACCAACCCUACUUGAUCUCCCCUGAAUUAUCAGAGUUUAGGCAACCAUCAUCCUCUGUGACACCUGUGAUGCUUCCUGGCAGUUCAACAUUUCUUCUUCCUGUUGGCUGCAGGAAAUGACCUUUUUUUCAGUUGGAACGUCAAGCCCAAAUGAACUCCACCACAUCUUGGGCCAGAAUUCUCCUGCUAUUUUUUUGUUCUGAUGGUUUGGAACUUUAUCUGAGGAAGGAACAUCUACAGAGAGACGCCAUCCCCAGAGCCUACAGGAUGCAUGCCAUCAUCAUCCUUGGAUUGAGACCAACCUAUGGCUGCAGAUUCCUCCUGGAUGUGUCUGGUACCAGCUGCCCUCGCAUUGUUACCUGAUUGUAGAGUGACAUGAUUGAGUAUCCUGACUCGUCUACCUCUGUGCUUGCAGUACUUGGUAAUGUCCCGAUGCUGACACCAUACGGCACCAGUUGGAGUCACAAAGCACUGUGCAGAAAGUACACUGGAGUUUGCAGGGUGUUGUGUUUACUGUGGCCUUUCAUCAUGGAGAUGCAGUUACCUGGCUGAAAGAGCGUAGGCAGAAGAACAUCAGCGUGCCAAGCAGGGUGAAGUGGUUCCUGUCUACCGUGGUCCUUGGAGGGGCUUCACCUCACAAACUUGGCCAGUGCAAACAAGGUGCUCCAAAGCUCAAAGAUUAAAUUUGCCAAAAAAAAGAGUCCAGCAUUGUCUUGACACAGUAAACAGGGUUUCAGGCUUGAAAUAGGGAAUGUAGCUGUUUUUAGUCGAAGAAAACAGCCACGUUUGCAGGACAGGUUUGGUAUCGAUGUAUCGUCUCGAGAAAAGUAAUCUUAUUUUAAAGCUGCAGGGGAUCGUUCUGAGAAACAAUUUUUCUGCAACUUUAUACUCUCCGAUGUUUCAAAAGUCUUUCCUGUUGGAUAAAGGCAUUGAAAAGUGCUCAUUUUAAACAGUGAAAAUUAUGCAUGCUUUCCUGGACAACUGAGGGCGUUAUUUCUGUGAUGUCCUGGGAAGACAUAUGUGUACUUGUUGUUCAUUGCUGGGUUUUUAUCAUUUCUGAAAAAGAGAUUAAUGUUUACUUCUUCCUGUAGACAUAGCAGUGAACCAGCAAAGAAAUGGAGGGCUUUUUUGUGUGCAAACAGGUGUAACAUUGAGGCUUUCUUCCUGAGAUGACAUCACAGUUUUGCUUAUGAAUAUUGAAAUAUCAUUAGCAUAAAAACCCAAGACGCAGUAAAUUACCUUAAAAAUAGUGAAAGAAAAGCCAGAAACUAAGGUUAACUGUGACACAGAGAUGGCUAUUAGAGAUUUGUUUUCAAACAAAUUCAGUAAACGAAAUUGCAAGUAUUUUGCCUUCUGUGCAGCUAGAUAGACUGAUUUAUGCACUAAAAGUUGGAGCUUUAAAAUAUCUGUGAAAUUGUUUGUGACUGCACAAAAUCAUAAUUAUGCCCUUUUCCACAUUUGUGUAAAUGGAGAUUGUAUACUCUAUUUAAUUCUUAAUUGAGUAAGCUUGAAAAAAAUAAUGGGUAUUUCUCAGAACUUUCAAUUUUCUGCUUUAUUACUUUUUUGUGUAAUUUCUUUCAAAAUGCAGAAGCAGGCAUUGUAAAUUCCUCUCAUAUUCCAAGUCACAAGUAGCUUGAACAAGAGACAUGUUUUUACUGAAUUUUCUCAAAGAUGCCUGUUUGAAAGCAAGAGGACCUGAAAAAUCUUUCUCAAAGUGAAAAGUUACUUUUCCACCAUUUGUUUUUUUGUGAAAGAGACACGUUAAAUACCAAAAUGAAUAUUCUGAAGCAGUUGGUAAAGAAGUCCUUACCUACUUCAUUGAGGCAUGAAUUUAUAUUAAACUGAAUACAUCGAAGUCGGUAUUUAUCAAUCCGUUUCAGCCCUCAUAAGUAUACUGUCUUUUCCGUGUGUUUGCAUAUUCAAAUUUUAUUUAAAUAUAUGCAGAUAAGCUGUGUCCCCUGACCUUUUUUGAAAUUGCGCAAUCCUAACCUUUAAAUAUUAGU